RNAcentral lists this ribosomal RNA (497 nucleotides) under uncultured bacterium. RNAcentral describes it as "partial 16S ribosomal RNA". It matches the Rfam family "Bacterial small subunit ribosomal RNA", at positions 28 to 507 of the family's 1533-position model. The record is from RNAcentral.
GAUGAACGCUGGCGGCGUGCCUAAUACAUGCAAGUCGAGCGAACAGACGAGGAGCUUGCUCCUCUGACGUUAGCGGCGGACGGGUGAGUAACACGUGGAUAACCUACCUAUAAGACUGGGAUAACUUCGGGAAACCGGCGCUAAUACCGGAUAAUAUAUUGAACCGCAUGGUUCAAUAGUGAAAGACGGUUUUGCUGUCACUUAUAGAUGGAUCCGCGCCGCAUUAGCUAGUUGGUAAGGUAACGGCUUACCAAGGCAACGAUGCGUAGCCGACCUGAGAGGGUGAUCGGCCGCACUGGAACUGAGACACGGUCCAGACUCCUACGGGAGGCAGCAGUAGGGAAUCUUCCGCAAUGGGCGAAAGCCUGACGGAGCAACGCCGCGUGAGUGAUGAAGGUCUUCGGAUCGUAAAACUCUGUUAUUAGGGAAGAACAAAUGUGUAAGUAACUAUGCACGUCUUGACGGUACCUAAUCAGAAAGCCACGGCUAACUACGUG